RNAcentral lists this ribosomal RNA (429 nucleotides) under Gemmatimonadota bacterium. RNAcentral describes it as "Gemmatimonadetes bacterium partial 16S ribosomal RNA". It matches the Rfam family "Bacterial small subunit ribosomal RNA", at positions 355 to 776 of the family's 1533-position model. The record is from RNAcentral. Lineage: Bacteria; Pseudomonadati; Gemmatimonadota.
UAGGGAAUCUUCGGCAAUGGACGAAAGUCUGACCGAGCAACGCCGCGUGAGUGCAGAAGGUUUUCGAAUCGUAAAACUCUGUUGUUAGAGAAGAACAAGGACGUUAGUAACUGAACGUCCCCUGACGGUAUCUAACCAGAAAGCCACGGCUAACUACGUGCCAGAAGCCGCGGUAAUACGUAGGUGGCAAGCGUUGUCCGGAUUUAUUGGGCGUAAAGUGAGCGCAGGAGGUUUCUUAAGUCUGAUGUGAAAGCCCCCGGCUCAACCGGGGAGGGUCAUUGGAAACUGGGAGACUUGAGUGCAGAAGAGGAGAGUGGAAUUCCAUGUGUAGCGGUGAAAUGCGUAGAUAUAUGGAGGAACACCAGUGGCGAAGGCGGCUCUCUGGUCUGUAUCUGACGCUGAGGCUCGAAAGCGUGGGGAGCAAACAGG